RNAcentral lists this ribosomal RNA (2925 nucleotides) under Avibacterium paragallinarum. Its description in RNAcentral is "23S ribosomal RNA". It matches the Rfam family "Bacterial large subunit ribosomal RNA". Lineage: Bacteria; Pseudomonadati; Pseudomonadota; Gammaproteobacteria; Pasteurellales; Pasteurellaceae. The record is from RNAcentral.
GUUGUAUAGUUAAGUGAGAAAGCGUACAGGGCGGAUGCCUUGGCAAUCAGAGGCGAAGAAGGACGUGCUAAUCUGCGAAAAGCGUGGGUGAGUUGAUAAGAAGCGUUUAACCCACGAUGUCCGAAUGGGGAAACCCGAUAGGCGAAGAGCCUAUCAUUGCGAGGUGAAUAAAAUAGCCUCGUAAGGCGAACCGGGAGAACUGAAACAUCUAAGUACCCCGAGGAAAAGAAAUCAACCGAGAUUCUGUGAGUAGCGGCGAGCGAAAGCGGAGGAGCCAGUAAGUAAUAGCAGCAGAGAUAGAGGAAUUGUCUGGGAAGGCAAGCGACACAGGGUGAUAGCCCCGUACUUAAAAUCCAGGCUGUGGUACUAAGCUUACGAGAAGUAGGGCGGGACACGAGGAAUCCUGUCUGAAGAUGGGGGGACCAUCCUCCAAGGCUAAAUACUCCUGAUUGACCGAUAGUGAACCAGUACUGUGAAGGAAAGGCGAAAAGAACCCCGGUGAGGGGAGUGAAAUAGAACCUGAAACCCUGUACGUACAAGCAGUGGGAGCCCGCAAGGGUGACUGCGUACCUUUUGUAUAAUGGGUCAGCGACUUAUAUUUUGUAGCGAGGUUAACUGAAUAAGGGAGCCGAAGGGAAACCGAGUCUUAACUGGGCGGUGAGUUGCAAGGUAUAGACCCGAAACCCGGUGAUCUAGCCAUGGGCAGGUUGAAGGUUGGGUAACACUAACUGGAGGACCGAACCGACUAAUGUUGAAAAAUUAGCGGAUGACCUGUGGCUGGGGGUGAAAGGCCAAUCAAACCGGGAGAUAGCUGGUUCUCCCCGAAAUCUAUUUAGGUAGAGCCUUGUGUGAAUACCUUUGGGGGUAGAGCACUGUUUCGGCUAGGGGCCCAUCCCGGGUUACCAAACCGAUGCAAACUCCGAAUACCAAAGAGUAAUGCACAGGAGACACACGGCGGGUGCUAACGUCCGUCGUGGAGAGGGAAACAACCCAGACCGCCAGCUAAGGUCCCAAAAUCUAUAUUAAGUGGGAAACGAAGUGGGAAGGCUUAGACAGCUAGGAUGUUGGCUUAGAAGCAGCCACCAUUUAAAGAAAGCGUAAUAGCUCACUAGUCGAGUCGGCCUGCGCGGAAGAUGUAACGGGGCUAAAAUAUAGUACCGAAGCUGCGGCAUCAAUCGAAGGAUUGUUGGGUAGGGGAGCGUUGUGUAAGCGGAAGAAGGUGGUUCGAGAGGAUUGCUGGACGUAUCACAAGUGCGAAUGCUGACAUAAGUAACGAUAAAACGGGUGAAAAACCCGUUCGCCGGAAGACCAAGGGUUCCUGUCCAACGUUAAUCGGGGCAGGGUGAGUCGGCCCCUAAGGCGAGGCUGAAAAGCGUAGUCGAUGGGAAACGGGUUAAUAUUCCCGUACUUGGUAAAGCUGCGAUGUGGGGACGGAGAAGGUUAGGUUAUCGACCUGUUGGAGAUGGUCGUUUAAGUUGGUAGGUGGGUGAGUUAGGCAAAUCCGGCUCACCGUUAACACUGAGAGAUGAUGACGAGGCACUAAGGUGCUGAAGUAACUGAUACCACACUUCCAGGAAAAGCCACUAAGCUUCAGGCUUUACUAAACCGUACUGAAAACCGACACAGGUGGUCAGGUAGAGAAUACUCAGGCGCUUGAGAGAACUCGGGUGAAGGAACUAGGCAAAAUAGCACCGUAACUUCGGGAGAAGGUGCGCCGGCGUAGAUUGUAGUGACUUGCUCACGAAGGUUGAACCGGUCGAAGAUACCAGCUGGCUGCAACUGUUUAUUAAAAACACAGCACUCUGCAAACACGAAAGUGGACGUAUAGGGUGUGAUGCCUGCCCGGUGCUGGAAGGUUAAUUGAUGGUGUAAUCGAAAGAGAAGCUCCUGAUCGAAGCCCCAGUAAACGGCGGCCGUAACUAUAACGGUCCUAAGGUAGCGAAAUUCCUUGUCGGGUAAGUUCCGACCUGCACGAAUGGCAUAAUGAUGGCCAGGCUGUCUCCACCCGAGACUCAGUGAAAUUGAAAUCGCCGUGAAGAUGCGGUGUACCCGCGGCUAGACGGAAAGACCCCGUGAACCUUUACUAUAGCUUGACACUGAACCUUGAAUUUUGAUGUGUAGGAUAGGUGGGAGACUAUGAAGCGGUAACGCCAGUUAUCGUGGAGUCGUUGUUGAAAUACCACCCUUUAACGUUUGAUGUUCUAACGAAGUGCCUGAAACGGGUACUCGGACAGUGUCUGGUGGGUAGUUUGACUGGGGCGGUCUCCUCCCAAAGUGUAACGGAGGAGCACGAAGGUUUGCUAAUGACGGUCGGACAUCGUCAGGUUAGUGCAAUGGUAUAAGCAAGCUUAACUGCGAGACAGACAAGUCGAGCAGGUGCGAAAGCAGGUCAUAGUGAUCCGGUGGUUCUGAAUGGAAGGGCCAUCGCUCAACGGAUAAAAGGUACUCCGGGGAUAACAGGCUGAUACCGCCCAAGAGUUCAUAUCGACGGCGGUGUUUGGCACCUCGAUGUCGGCUCAUCACAUCCUGGGGCUGAAGUAGGUCCCAAGGGUAUGGCUGUUCGCCAUUUAAAGUGGUACGCGAGCUGGGUUUAGAACGUCGUGAGACAGUUCGGUCCCUAUCUGCCGUGGGCGUUGGAGAAUUGAGAGGGGCUGCUCCUAGUACGAGAGGACCGGAGUGGACGCAUCACUGGUGUACCAGUUGUCUCGCCAGAGGCAUUGCUGGGUAGCUAAAUGCGGAAGAGAUAAGUGCUGAAAGCAUCUAAGCACGAAACUUGCCUUGAGAUGAGUUCUCCCAGUCUAUAAGACUGUAAGGGUUGUUGGAGACUACGACGUAGAUAGGCUGGGUGUGUAAGCGGUGUGAGCCGUUGAGCUAACCAGUACUAAUUGCCCGAGAGGCUUAACUAUACAACGCUCAAGGGUUUUG